RNAcentral lists this long non-coding RNA (1177 nucleotides) under Equus asinus (donkey). RNAcentral's name for it is "lncRNA (ENSEASG00005036758.1)". Lineage: Eukaryota; Metazoa; Chordata; Mammalia; Perissodactyla; Equidae. The record is from RNAcentral.
GAAGAAGAAGACAGAGAUGUGAUGAUGGAAGCGGAGGUUGGAGUGAUGUGCAUUAAAGAUGGAGGAGGGGCUGCAAGCCAAGCCGUGCAGGCGGCCUCUAGAAGCUGGGAAAGGCAAGGAGACAGCUUCUUGCUUGGAGCCCCCGGGAGAAGCGCAGCCCUGCCGACACCUUGAUUUUAGACUUCUGGCCUCCGGAACCGCCGUGCCCGUCCCCUGCCCAUCAUGCCCUUCCAGCUGGCCUUUCAUCCCGCAGCGAACCUCUGUGUGUCCGGCUCAGAGUCUCCAUAAACCGCACCAUGGAGCUGGCCCGAAGAUGGCCUGACAGACGUGUGACCUGGCAUGGCUGGAUUCCACCCCGGUGGCGAAGUGUUAUUUCCUUUAAUGCACACAUAUACACACACAGCUGUCUGGAAGAAUUCCUGGGCCCAGCACGGAGCAAAAUUUCAAAAACACACAGAAGUCGAGAGGACCAGACACAGAUUCCAGCAUCCCCAGCCCUCGGCUUCAUCCCCGGCAACGUCUGGCAAUCUCGUUUUAUCACCUCCUGUGGGCUCCCUCUCUGGCUUUUUCCCCAUUUGGCUGGAGGAUUUGAAAGCAAAUUGCAGACAUCACGCCACGCACGCAUGUUGUUUUUUCAAAAACUUAAUUUUGAAAUAAUUAUAGAGUCGCAGGGAAUUGCGAAGACAGGACAGCGUGGUCCUGGGUACCCCUCACCCAGUUUCCCCCAGGGGUUACGCCUCACAUACCUAUGCGACAAUAUCAGAACCCCGAACUGACAUAGGUAGAGAGGGUGUGUGUGUGUAUAGUUCCACAGCAUCUCGUCACACAUGUGGCUUUAGUUCACCACCACCGCAAAGAUCUCCCCACGUCCCACCCGCCACCCUGCCCCCGUGACAGCCGCUAAUACUGUCUCCAUCUCUAUAACGUUGUCACUGGAGAACGUUGUGAAAAUGGAAUCACAUAGCAUGUGACCUUUGAAACUGACUCUUUUUCCAUGUAGCAUAAAGCCCUGAGAUUCGUCCCAAUUGUUUCGUGUAUCAGCACGUCAUUCCUUUUUAUGGCUGGGUAGUAAUCCACCAUGCGAAUGGAUCUCAGUCUGCUUAACCGUUCACCUCCUGAGGGGCUGUGUCCAGUUUGGGGCUGUUGUGAAUAAAGCUGCGACAGGCUUUUGUGUGGA